UACGUAGGUGGCGAGCGUUGUCCGGAAUUAUUGGGCGUAAAGCGCGCGUAGGCGGCUUGUCAGGUCCGACGUGAAAUCCCGGGGCUCAACCCCGGACGUGCGUCGGAAACCGGCUUGCUUGAGUCUGGGAGAGGGAAGUGGAAUUCCUGGUGUAGCGGUGAAAUGCGCAGAUAUCAGGAGGAACACCGGUAGCGAAGGCUGCUUCCUGGAACAGUACUGACGCUGAGGCGCGAAAGCUAGGGGAGCGAACAGGAUUAGAAACCCGGUAGUCC
This 272-nucleotide ribosomal RNA is filed under the name uncultured bacterium. RNAcentral's name for it is "partial 16S ribosomal RNA". It matches the Rfam family "Bacterial small subunit ribosomal RNA", at positions 524 to 796 of the family's 1533-position model. The record is from RNAcentral.